AGGACGAACGCUGGCGGCGCGCUUAACACAUGCAAGUCGAACGUGAAGCUGGAGCUUGCUCCGGUGGAAAGUGGCGAACGGGUGCGUAACACGUGAGCAACCUGCCCCGAAGACUGGGAUAACACCGGGAAACCGGUGCUAAUACCGGAUACCUUCUUCCGAUCGCAUGGUUGGAUGAAGAAAUGGAUUCCGCUUCGGGAUGGGCUCGCGGCCUAUCAGCUUGUUGGUGAGGUAACGGCCCACCAAGGCGACGACGGGUAGCUGGUCUGAGAGGACGACCAGCCACACUGGGACUGAGACACGGCCCAGACUCCUACGGGAGGCAGCAGUGGGGAAUCUUGCUCAAUGGGCGAAAGCCUGAAGCAGCGACGCCGCGUGCGGGAUGAAGGCCCUCGGGUUGUAAACCGCUUUCAGCAGGGACGAAUUGACGGUACCUGCAGAAGAAGGCCCGGCCAACUACGUGCCAGCAGUCGCGGUAA
This 479-nucleotide ribosomal RNA is filed under the name uncultured bacterium. RNAcentral describes it as "SSU rRNA". It matches the Rfam family "Bacterial small subunit ribosomal RNA", at positions 26 to 523 of the family's 1533-position model. The record is from RNAcentral.